AUGUAUAAACUGAAUCCUGAUUGUUGGGUUUGGUCGCCCAGACCUCCUCUGCGUCUCCAUCCUCAACACUCAGGGAGGCUGACUUCAGCUGUGCUGAGCCACCACGAAGAAGAGGAGGAGGUGGAGGAGGUGGAGGAGGAAGAGCAUCCUGCUGUUUGCUGCUACACGACAGGUUGUGAUGAUGUCAUCAGUCAGGCUGCCAAUGCCCAUUGGUCAGAACCUGUCAUCCUCUCAGGGAUCCCCAGCAGCUCUGGCCUGGCCGGACACGGUCCUGCUGCUCGUCCCUCACAGCCAGAAACAGUGACUAAUGCUGACGUAUCCCGGCAUGUCACUGGUGGUCAUUGCUGGGAGGGUCCGGUGAUGGAAGCCCAUGGAUGUGUUUGUGUUUGUGGGCAGAGGGGAACCGAAAGUCUGGAUCCCUGCUGGUCUGGAUCUCCAUACGUGUACUAUGGAGUGAGGAGGAACCUGGUGGUUGGAGUGGAGGUGGUGGAGGAGGUUGCUGUUGAAGACACUCUCGAAGUAAUAACAGAGGACAUAUACACAGAUGACCUCCUGGAUGCUGAGCUGCUGCCAGACGAACAGCUGUACCCCACAUGAGCCCUCAGUCACUGUCAGCAUUUCCAGUUUUGACU
Molecule: long non-coding RNA, 632 nt
Filed under: Sparus aurata (gilthead seabream)
Lineage: Eukaryota; Metazoa; Chordata; Actinopteri; Spariformes; Sparidae
Description: lncRNA (ENSSAUG00010011305.1)
Source: RNAcentral